Molecule: ribosomal RNA, 386 nt
Filed under: Aeromonas hydrophila
Lineage: Bacteria; Pseudomonadati; Pseudomonadota; Gammaproteobacteria; Aeromonadales; Aeromonadaceae
Description: bacterial SSU rRNA
Rfam family: Bacterial small subunit ribosomal RNA
Source: RNAcentral
CCUGAUGCAGCCAUGCCGCGUGUGUGAAGAAGGCCUUCGGGUUGUAAAGCACUUUCAGCGAGGAGGAAAGGUUGAUGCCUAAUACGUAUCAAUUGUGACGUUACUCGCAGAAGAAGCACCGGCUAACUCCGUGCCAGCAGCCGCGGUAAUACGGAGGGUGCAAGCGUUAAUCGGAAUUACUGGGCGUAAAGCGCACGCAGGCGGUUGGAUAAGUUAGAUGUGAAAGCCCCGGGCUCAACCUGGGAAUUGCAUUUAAAACUGUCCAGCUAGAGUCUUGUAGAGGGGGGUAGAAUUCCAGGUGUAGCGGUGAAAUGCGUAGAGAUCUGGAGGAAUACCGGUGGCGAAGGCGGACCCCUGGACAAAGACUGACGCUCAGUGCGAAGCUG